UUGAACAGGAAAGUGAGAACAAAGGCGUUGUUGUAGCCAUUUUGGCCAUGCUACAACGAUGCAGACAGCUCUCUUUGUCACUCCUACAACGUGCUUGUUCAAACAACACAUUUUCUUUCAGGUUUUGUGCUUUAGGCAGAGUGACAUGAUGCAGGAUGGAGUUGCGAAGAGUUCCAGGACAUGGUCAAAGAUGGCUGGAACAGUCGGAUGGAUUUGCAAUCAUGCAAUAAAGGCCCACAUGAGACGCCAUGGUCAAAUGGUUGGAGAUCGUUGAGAGUUUGCAGCUAUUGAUGAAAGUUGUUGUAAUAAUAGCAAGUAUCACCACAGAAGGGCCGGUGCAACAUGGCGACGGAAAAAGUGGGUAUUAAGAAUAUUAGGAGUAGGUGACCGCCAGAAACAUCCUGUCUUGUGGCUGGUGUGGUUAAACAAGUGCGUCCGGGAACCACCGUCAUCAGUGACCAAUGGGGCACUUACAGGAGUGCAUUGACUGCGACAGGCUACAGGCACUUCACAGUGAACCACUGUCAGUAGUUUGCGGAUCCAAACACCUUGCGCGCCUCCCAGUAUGUCAACCCCAGCUUUCUCUGUGGACCAUGCAACUUGGACUUUCCGAGUUUCAUAUAGGACAAUGCAUCUUGCUCUGCAUCUGUAAACCAUGGAUUCAUCUUUUGGACAUUUUCAGGAGAAUGGCUGUGUGUGUGUGUGUGUGUGCG
This is a long non-coding RNA of Engraulis encrasicolus (European anchovy), 713 nucleotides long. RefSeq lists it as uncharacterized. The transcript is spliced from 3 exons. The record is from RefSeq and is a predicted model, not a curated record. Lineage: Eukaryota; Metazoa; Chordata; Actinopteri; Clupeiformes; Engraulidae.